This 496-nucleotide ribosomal RNA is filed under the name uncultured bacterium. Its description in RNAcentral is "partial 16S ribosomal RNA". It matches the Rfam family "Bacterial small subunit ribosomal RNA", at positions 28 to 506 of the family's 1533-position model. The record is from RNAcentral.
GAUGAACGCUGGCGGCGUGCCUAAUACAUGCAAGUCGAGCGAACAGACGAGGAGCUUGUUCCUCUGACGUUAGCGGCGGACGGGUGAGUAACACGUGGAUAACCUACCUAUAAGACUGGGAUAACUUCGGGAAACCGGAGCUAAUACCGGAUAAUAUAUUGAACCGCAUGGUUCAAUAGUGAAAGACGGUUUUGCUGUCACUUAUAGAUGGAUCCGCGCCGCAUUAGCUAGUUGGUAAGGUAACGGCUUACCAAGGCAACGAUGCGUAGCCGACCUGAGAGGGUGAUCGGCCACACUGGAACUGAGACACGGUCCAGACUCCUACGGGAGGCAGCAGUAGGGAAUCUUCCGCAAUGGGCGAAAGCCUGACGGAGCAACGCCGCGUGAGUGAUGAAGGUCUUCGGAUCGUAAAACUCUGUUAUUAGGGAAGAACAAAUGUGUAAGUAACUAUGCACGUCUUGACGGUACCUAAUCAGAAAGCCACGGCUAACUACGU